AUCACCCUCCUUGUAUCUCCUUCUUCGGCUAUAACAAACAUCAAUUGACCACCCUGUCAUAACCGUUGAACACCGGCUGACCAACAUUGUGCCGCCGCCAAAAAUCGCCUCACGGAGGAGGCUAGCAACCAAAGUGUCCAAAAUUAACACCACGUAACCAGCGUGACCUCCUCUACCCCAUCCCAUGGCCACUUUCCUUUGAACAUAACUCUUCUAUCUCGAAUAUCCCCUGGAAGGUUGCCGGAAACCCUACCUCCGGCGAUCCCACUCCAAAGCCUUCAAAAUUUACACCAUUAAAACACCUUGAUCCCCUCUUUCCAACCAUGCAUGUCAUCACUCUCAAAUCACCCUGAAGCUCAUCGAAUUUCAGUUUGAAGCUUAACCCUAAAUCCCCAAACAUGCCGGAAAAGCCUCAAAACCCUCAUAGAAAAUCCCUUAUUCCCCUUGACCCCAACCAUG
This 459-nucleotide long non-coding RNA is filed under the name Nicotiana benthamiana. Its description in RNAcentral is "long non-coding RNA (NBEN_LNC002932)". Lineage: Eukaryota; Viridiplantae; Streptophyta; Magnoliopsida; Solanales; Solanaceae. The record is from RNAcentral.